UACACUCCUACGGGAGGCAGCAGUGGGGAAUUUUGGACAAUGGGCGAAAGCCUGAUCCAGCAAUGCCGCGUGAGUGAAGAAGGCCUUCGGGUUGUAAAGCUCUUUUGUCAGGGAAGAAACGGUGAAAGCUAAUAUCUUUUGCUAAUGACGGUACCUGAAGAAUAAGCACCGGCUAACUACGUGCCAGCAGCCGCGGUAAUACGUAGGGUGCAAGCGUUAAUCGGAAUUACUGGGCGUAAAGCGUGCGCAGGCGGUUUUGUAAGUCUGAUGUGAAAUCCCCGGGCUCAACCUGGGAAUUGCAUUGGAGACUGCAAGGCUAGAAUCUGGCAGAGGGGGGUAGAAUUCCACGUGUAGCAGUGAAAUGCGUAGAUAUGUGGAGGAACACCGAUGGCGAAGGCAGCCCCCUGGGUCAAGAUUGACGCUCAUGCACGAAAGCGUGGGGAGCAAACAGGAUUAGAAACCCUAGUAGUCCCAUG
RNAcentral lists this ribosomal RNA (476 nucleotides) under uncultured organism. RNAcentral's name for it is "partial 16S ribosomal RNA". It matches the Rfam family "Bacterial small subunit ribosomal RNA", at positions 332 to 799 of the family's 1533-position model. The record is from RNAcentral.